CUGGCGGCGUGCUUAACACAUGCAAGUCGAACGCGAAAGGGAACUUCGGUCCUGAGUAAAGUGGCGCACGGGUGAGUAACGCGUAGAUAACCUGUCUUCAUGUCUGGAAUAAUACGCCGAAAGGGGUACUAAUACCGGAUAUUCUUGCUUUUCAUAAGUUAUGCAAGCAAAGGUGGCCUCUGCAUAUGCUACUGCAUGAAGAGGGGUCUGCGUACCAUUAGCUAGUAGGUGGGGUAAUGGCCUACCUAGGCGACGAUGGUUAGCGGGUCUGAGAGGAUGAUCCGCCACACUGGCACUGGAACACGGGCCAGACUCCUACGGGAGGCAGCAGUGAGGAAUAUUGCGCAAUGGGGGGAACCCUGACGCAAGCAACGCCACGUGUGGGAAGAAGCAUUUCGGUGUGUAAACCACUGUCGGAAAGGAAUAACGGAAGACUUCGGUCUUUAUGAAUGUACUUUUAGAGGAAGCACCGGCAAACUUCGUGCCAGCCGCGGC
Molecule: ribosomal RNA, 495 nt
Filed under: uncultured bacterium
Lineage: Bacteria
Description: bacterial SSU rRNA
Rfam family: Bacterial small subunit ribosomal RNA
Source: RNAcentral